RNAcentral lists this ribosomal RNA (434 nucleotides) under uncultured bacterium. RNAcentral's name for it is "partial 16S ribosomal RNA". It matches the Rfam family "Bacterial small subunit ribosomal RNA", at positions 29 to 507 of the family's 1533-position model. The record is from RNAcentral.
AGCGAACGCUGGCGGCAGGCCUAACACAUGCAAGUCGAACGAACCUUUCGGGGUUAGUGGCUGACGGGUGAGUAACACGUGGGAACGUGCCUUUAGGUUCGGAAUAACUCAGGGAAACUUGUGCUAAUACCGAAUGUGCCCUUCGGGGGAAAGAUUUAUCGCCUUUAGAGCGGCCCGCGUCUGAUUAGCUAGUUGGUUGAGGUAAUGGCUCACCAAGGCGACGAUCAGUAGCUGGUCUGAGAGGAUGAUCAGCCACAUUGGGACUGAGACACGGCCCAAACUCCUACGGGAGGCAGCAGUGGGGAAUCUUGCGCAAUGGGCGAAAGCCUGACGCAGCCAUGCCGCGUGAAUGAUGAAGGUCUUAGGAUUGUAAAAUUCUUUCACCGGGGACGAUAAUGACGGUACCCGGAGAAGAAGCCCCGGCUAACUUCGUG